RNAcentral lists this ribosomal RNA (468 nucleotides) under uncultured bacterium. Its description in RNAcentral is "partial 16S ribosomal RNA". It matches the Rfam family "Bacterial small subunit ribosomal RNA", at positions 28 to 507 of the family's 1533-position model. The record is from RNAcentral.
GACGAACGCUGGCGGCGUGCUUAACACAUGCAAGUCGAACGGAAAGGCCCUGCUUUUGUGGGGUGCUCGAGUGGCGAACGGGUGAGUAACACGAGAGUAACCUGCCCUGGACUUUGGGAUAACUUCAGGAAACUGGGGCUAAUACCGGAUAGGAGCUCCUGCUGCAUGGUGGGGGUUGGAAAGUUUCGGCGGUUGGGGAUGGACUCGCGGCUUAUCAGCUUGUUGGUGGGGUAGUGGCUUACCAAGGCUUUGAAGGGUAGCCGGCCUGAGAGGGUGACCGGCCAAAUUGGGACUGAGAUGCGGCCCAGACUCCUACGGGAGGCAGCAGUGGGGAAUAUUGCACAAUGGGCGGAAGCCUGAUGCAGCAACGGCGCGUGCGGGAUGACGGCCUUCGGGUUGUAAACCGCUUUCGCCUGUGACGAAGCGUGAGUGACGGUAAUGGGUAAAGAAGCACCGGCUAACUACGUG